CCUUGCCUCCGUCUCCAGCUCGCCACACGGGCCACAGCGCCAGCAGCCGGUGUCUGACUUUGUUUAGCUUCAGCCGUAGCCACACGGCGUCCAUGCUGGCUGAUCCUCAUUUUGAACAACGUGCUAAAGAAGUUUUCAGGCGCUCGCAUAAAAACCUACAACCGUCAACUAAAUGAAACAGAAAAUCAUCAAUAACCCUCAUAGCCUCACCAUUAUAAUGAAAAGGUUACUUGUUAGGUACCAGAAAUGAAAGAAAAUUUAAAGGCAAAUACUCACCUUGUAUUUUAAAGGUGACAUCUUCAACUCUAGUUACCUAUUUUACCGGCAUCAAGUGAACGUCUUCCGUCUGCUUAAAUCGAUGGAGGAAGACAUUGGCGAAGCAAAAAACGGUAUGGCGAUUGCGGCAUGUGCUGGAGUUGGAGAAGCGCUAGCUCACAUCACAUAUAAGCGAAACUCUGCGCCGACAAGGGGAGGCCAAUCAAAGCCAGAGUUUUGCAUUGCGGAGCUUUACUGAUGAAUUUGGUCAGUACCAAAAACUAGCAAAUGGCGGUCUCGGUGGUGGCCAACACGUUACCAAUUAAACAACAAUUGCCCCUUAUACAGCGAUACAUCCAAGCACAGACUGCGUGCAUGAAAAAGGUCAGUGGAUGCUUUGGACGUUUCGUCAUAAAUUAUAUCAGGAGUAGUAACGGGGGUACUAUUUUGUAUUAUCUGGGGAGAGCUUGAGCUACCGUGCGGCUGUUCCAUACGAAAUCGCUAGUACGCUCCGCUAUUUGACUUGUUUAGGAGCGUUAGUGUGCCAACAACUCAUCAAUUACUAGAGCACUAUUGCGGUCCGAAACAAUUUUAAAUACCGGAGUGUUAUAAUUUGGUAUGGAAUAGUCGCAACGCCAUCUAUGGAGCUUAACACGCGUAGCUCCAGGGGUUUUGCAGACGUUACUACUCUUGGUUCACUUCAAGGUUUCGUCGAAAAAAGUCAUUAAAGGAAUGUUAUGAUUUGUUUCCACAAUUGAAGGUUUAUUUAUUCUUGCCUCAUGAUUGUGCACACCGAUUGUUUAUCUUGAUGAGGACAAACUGUACCAAAAACACUCAUUUAAGUUCAUUCGAGGAGCGAUCUGAGGUACUAUGUUGCAGGUAGCCUAACAGGAUACAAUAUUGGAAAGGAACAUGUUAGAAUUAACCAUUUAACUAGCAGUCAAAACUACAGGACUACAGAAACAACGGAAACUGGUGGCCGAAUUUGUUGGUGUUAUUAAACUCAUGUUGAAAAUGUUUGGCAUAUCGCUGUUUCUCACUUAGCAGCAACAAACACUAGAUGAAGUAUCUGAAACGGAAUUCUACGUUCCAACGACCUUCUAGAUAACGUAGCUGGAUCAGCGUCGCAGCGGGUGAGUAGAGGAUUUGAUGGCUUCAAACAAGUUCAAGAACUCGCCACAGAAUUGGAAGCAGGCAGUCUAUUUGCCUGGCCAACGUUUUCCCAAUGGGCGUGGCCUUCCAAGUUCCCUCUCAUACCAGAUGCUCACCGAGACUCAGAAGCAGCGCCCGAUCGUAUCCGCCAACAUCUUGCUCAAGUUGCGACUGUCUUGCUGAUCUCGGCCAGAGUGUUUUUCGAUCGCAUAGAAAUGAAAGCAUUCUGUGAGGCCAAAACCAAAUCGAUGGGAUAACCUAAACUCCGUCUGAUUUUGUUACCUCACGUCGUGUAUGGGGAUUGGCCCAUGGACAAACCACUGGACAUUUCCCAAUAUGCCUUACCGAUCAUGGAUUGGGGGGAACUCAUAGUGGAGUCAUCGUCGAUGUUCAAACGAGAAUGUCACUCAUCCCCGUUGGUCCUGUCCGUUUGCUCUGUCAUAUCCCUUUGCUGAUCCUGGAGUACCUUUGUUACCAGCACAUUUUCGAAGUGACGCAGUGUCAAAGGUAAACUGGUGAUCUGUACGAGUGGCUGUUAUCGUUCUCUUUAAUUUCGAACGUGAAACACCCGAUAUCCUUACGGUUGAUGCGGAUGUUGACGUGUUUGACUUGGCUUUCAGAAUCGUCUAUGACCACCAACAAUCGGUCCCCGACAAAGCACGGAAGUAAUAGUUCUAUAGUGCAUUUAAGCAACUGUCGUACCAAACGGUGUGCAAGAAAUUGGAACAUUGCACUCAUUUCAAAGAAAUUUAUCAACUUGAAAAAACUUUCCUGGGAAAAGAAAUGCUGAAUGCACACAUCAUGUGUCCCAUGAAAUCUCUGAACAACUAGUUUACGUAGGUGAUUUGAAUCAGCCAUCCAAAAGCUGCAGUCGCCUUAAAGGUGUUUGGAUUGCUACCUUCUAAAGGCAAUCUAAUUUCAACGUCCAUCGAUUCAAGACCAUUAUGGAAGGUGAAUUUCCAUCGGUGGUCAAAGCGAUACGUUUACCGUCCAUCGUAAGGAAAUAGGUGCUAAAUUUCCCAAUUUCAACUGAAAAUGUCAGAGACAGCGUGGCUUCGUAGCAACCACUUAUUAUCAACUCCUGAUGCAAAGGGGGAAAAGUCCAAUUCUCAAAUGGGUGUGUGGUGUCCAGCCGAUUGCAGUCUCUAGACGAAGACGAUGUGGUGAAUUUCCAGACCUGCAAAGAAAACGAUAAUUGCACCAACCGAAAUGCAACAGACGAAAAAUAGCGGAUCGUGCUGCAGUGUCCAUCUUUGCAAUAGUUGCUGUUGGCGACGCCAUUAGGAAUAGGUAAAUAAACAACUUGAUAUUACAACUGUUUUAUGCACUACGUAGACCCGUUGGAAAUGUCGUUGCUUAAAGCCGCGUACGGAUUACAAAAUAGGCCUAUUUGAUGCGUUCCAAAUAAAACUCAUGCAUUUUGUUUUGUGACGCUGAAUACCUUAGACAUACUGCGCAUGACAACAUAUAUAUUAAAGUUUAUUCGCCAUGAUGACCAAUAUCACUAAAUCCUGAAUGUCAGAAAGUGAUUCGUCUUACUUCGUCUUCCACACGGUUAUAGAGCUUAUCUGUUUGGCUGAAGCAAACACAAACUUAACGUUCUGUCGGAUUGCUACGCGUUGGUUCUUCAAUUUGUGUGCAUAUUGCGCAGUAUUUAUUGACAAGUUGUUUACCUCAUCUUCGUUGCAAUUGCAUCAUGGAAUAGGAUUGUGUUGUCCAAACCUCACCUGGAUUACACAUGCCUCACAGGUGAAAUCAUCGUCUUGAACUCUUGACAAACAAAUGUUUGUUAUCAGUGUCAUCGUCAAGUCCACUCGGCCUACAAGUCCUGAACGGCUUUACGAACGUUUCCCAGGCCAUCUAGUGUUUGUCAGUGACGCCAUGUUGACGCUAAACAUUCUGGGAUCGGGCAAAAAUGGCGUUGUAUCGACUUAAGUUACCUCAUCACCGAAAAGAACAAACCAUGCUUCAAUGUUUAGUUUUUCAGUACUCGAACCACCCCCAUUUAACCCCCAACGUAUGGUGGGAUAUAUCAAAAAGUGUAUGAGGGGCAAUAGGCGCGACCUAUUAAAAAUUCAUUUUCCUACCGUGUCGUCAGGUAACUGAGGCCAGGUGGAAAUUCUGCAUCAGUUGCUGUGUGAUGCUUUCAGGACCGGACAGCUUGGCUGUCUGUGACUUGUUUCCUAGGUGCCGGAAUAGGAUUGAACAUACGCCGCUGCAUGUGGUCGACUGUUGCUGACUCGCCCUUCUCCGUGGUAGUGACGUGGAAAAUAAUACCGUGUCAUCUGUGCUCCUCCCCAUUACCUGCCUCGCCCUGCAUCGCCAUCACGUCCAGCAAUCUAAACAAGAAGACCAAUUACUCCACUCUCACUAUAGUCCAAGCCAAAUUUUACUUUGUCCAAUUCUGUAUGGCGAAUCGCAAGCCCAAUUGUUUAGCUGUUCUCGGCUAGGCUGUCUUUCGGUCGAUUGGUAAUAUUCCGCACCAAAUGAUAACCUUUUUCCAAAAUUUAAUUGAAUUUUUGUUUUUCU
This is a long non-coding RNA of Daphnia magna, 3936 nucleotides long. RefSeq lists it as uncharacterized. Lineage: Eukaryota; Metazoa; Arthropoda; Branchiopoda; Diplostraca; Daphniidae. The record is from RefSeq and is a predicted model, not a curated record. The transcript has 14 exons.